Molecule: long non-coding RNA, 1517 nt
Filed under: Ursus maritimus (polar bear)
Lineage: Eukaryota; Metazoa; Chordata; Mammalia; Carnivora; Ursidae
Description: lncRNA (ENSUMAG00000021275.1)
Source: RNAcentral
CAAGGAUUCUGGCGCAGGUGGCAGGGCGGCCUGCUGUGCUGUGGGCGGCCUACUGUGGUGUUGGGCAGCGCUGGGCCCGUGAGCUAAGACCAGGUCUAAAACCAGACUCACCAAGGCUCUCACUCAGUGAUCCCGCUUUAUUUCUUUUAUCUGUUUUAUUCCACUUUUUUCUGUUUCGUUUUUACAUUGUACGUAUUCUCUGCACGUGCUGUGCAGAGGCAACAGCGAGGCAGGUAUCCCCAGAGCUGCAUAGCAUCCAUCCAUCUGAGCUGAGAGCAGGGAGAGAGGCCUGGAAAAGCCAUUCUCACUCCUCUCGAGGCCUGUGUGGACAUCGGCUUCACCGUCCCGGGCCCAGAGUCACUGUUUUUCCCAGGGCUCUGAGGGUGGGCCGAAGGGGUGUGCGUGCACUUUCUUCCUUCUGGCUGGAGUGGGGGGAUCAGGUGAGAAGAGGCUGCCCCAUCUGCACCCCUGGCUGCAGAGCCGCCCUGACAGCCUCUCGGGGCCUGUGGGUCUCGGGGGGGGGGCACCCACCCUUUCAGUGCCAGCAUCUUGGCCUUGGCUCGGCCACAUCUACGAGCAGCCAGCGCUGCCCUUGCCAAGAAGUCUUCUGUGGUCCCAGCGCCAAGGAUUUAUAGCUCCCCGUGGACAGAGGCUGUGUGGUUCCCCUUCAGCGCUCGCAGCCCUCUUCCUGGGCCUGGGAAGGCCAUCAGCCCUGCAGAAAGCAAGUCCUUCCGUGGUGUUCCUGGUCCUUGCAGAGGGUUCUUCCGGGGCCUGCGGAGGCAGAGCCCCAGGGGUGCCAGAAACUUUCCCGGCCUUUGGCGCAGAAAGCCCUUGGGACUGGAGCACAAGAGUUAAGUUCUGGGCUGAGGCUUCAGGGUUCAAUUCCAUUAUUUCCUGCCGAUGACACUACUGCCUUCCUAUGGCCAUUGACACAUGUUGCUUUCAUCUGUUUCAUUUCAAGACAUGAGUACACUCACUGGAAACUAUGCUUAAUAGCUAAACUCAAAACAUUUGGAUUUCCUUUCCUUCUUGACUCUUUGCUGGUAUGCUGCAUUCUCUCGUGGGUUGGUUUUUUGGGUGGUGGUGGCUUUUUUUUUUUUUUUUCCAAGCCACCAUUUUUAACCGAGCAAAGAGAAGCCAGUGGCUUUCUGGCCAAUUGGCUCAGGCCCGUUCUCUAUAUAUGGGCUAUUUCACUUCCUGGGGGAGCCAUUGGCUCCUGCAGCCCCCUCGUUGUGGUGGUUAAACAGCAUCUCCCAGCCUCUUUCUUCGCCCAGCUCCUCCCCGUGUCAGGGAGAGAACUGGCCUGUUUAACUAUAGGACGGGCCGUGGGGUCUCCGAAAGGUUGCUGCUUCCUUGAGCUCCGUGACUCAUGGCUUGGACCUUCUGAAUGGAGCCUCCAGAGCAGAGGUGAACAGACUCAAAACGGCUAGGUGAUCUGCAGUCUUCGGAAAGGUCACCUGUGUCCCUCUCCACCUCCCUCCUUAAACAAAGGUACAUUGUCUAAGGUGGCACUUUUC